GCCGGAGGAAGGUGGGGAGUGACGUCAAGUCAUCAUGGCCCUUAUGUCCAGGGCGACACACGUGCUACAAUGGCCGGCACAGCGGGAAGCGGAGGGGCGACCCUGAGCGGAUCCCUUGAAAGCCGGUCCCAGUUCGGAUUGCAGUCUGCAACUCGACUGCAUGAAGUUGGAAUCGCUAGUAAUCGCGGAUCAGCCAAGCCGCGGUGAAUACGUUCCCGGGCCUU
RNAcentral lists this ribosomal RNA (224 nucleotides) under uncultured Thermovirga sp. Its description in RNAcentral is "partial 16S ribosomal RNA". It matches the Rfam family "Bacterial small subunit ribosomal RNA", at positions 1162 to 1382 of the family's 1533-position model. Lineage: Bacteria; Thermotogati; Synergistota; Synergistia; Synergistales; Thermovirgaceae. The record is from RNAcentral.